This 254-nucleotide ribosomal RNA is filed under the name uncultured bacterium. Its description in RNAcentral is "partial 16S ribosomal RNA". It matches the Rfam family "Bacterial small subunit ribosomal RNA", at positions 524 to 776 of the family's 1533-position model. The record is from RNAcentral.
UACGUAGGGGGCGAGCGUUGUCCGGAUUUAUUGGGCGUAAAGAGCUCGUAGGCGGUUCGAUAAGUCGGAUGUGAAAUCUCCACGCUCAACGUGGAGAGGCCAUUCGAUACUGUCGUGACUCGAGUCCGGUAGGGGAGUGUGGAAUUCCCGGUGUAGCGGUGAAAUGCGCAGAGAUCGGGAGGAACACCAGUGGCGAAGGCGACUACCUGGCCUGUUCUUGACGCUGAGGCGCGAAAGCUAGGGGAGCAAACGGG